RNAcentral lists this long non-coding RNA (1150 nucleotides) under Pogona vitticeps (central bearded dragon). RNAcentral's name for it is "lncRNA (ENSPVIG00000025165.1)". Lineage: Eukaryota; Metazoa; Chordata; Lepidosauria; Squamata; Agamidae. The record is from RNAcentral.
AAAACUGGUAUCACAAAUGUGUAUUUAAGAAACAUUUGUUUAAACAGUAUAGUGCUCUAUACAAGGCAUAAUUAUGAAUAAUUAUUUGCCAUCAAGAGCGUUCUGAUUUUUGGUGAUGCUUCCCAGGGUUUACUAGGUGUAGAAAAUUCACAGGUGUUUUACCAUUACCUUUUUCUAGGACGAUGUAGGUUGCCAAAGGCCAGACAAACUGGCUUUUAUCCUAUGAAGCAAAAUGGAGAAUCAGAUUCUUGACUCCUGGUAUUUCUUUGAAUGUCCAUAGGCAAAACCUCACCAAUCCAUAGGUAUCAUUAAUAGACUUCACAUUCACACACACAUACUCACGCGUGCGCACAUACACACACAAACACCCAUUAUUUCUGUGCUUGCCCUUGCCUAGCUCUAAUUCCAAAAACAUGCCUCUGACUUAGUAGAUUUAGGACUCCAAAUCAGAAAAACCUAACAAUCAAUCCUAGUUUAAACACUGUAAUAAUUACGGUAUGUUUGGAAACCCACCCUCUGUAGUAGUCAUCCUAGUGCCUAGGAAAAAAAAUAAGAUGGUAAAUACAUACCACGUAACACAGUUGUAUUCCUGGCAUUAUCAGAACUGCAUGGGAAGAUAGCAACGGGAAGUAGCUCCUGCACCAGUGAUGAUAAGAACCAACCGAACUUUAUGGGAAGGGAACAGAAUCUGUAGCGUUGGGAGGAUCUAUGGCAUACCUAAAUAUGACCACAGAAUGCACCAGUUGUGACUGCAAAGGAGUGACAUUGUCAAAGUUUUCCAUUGUUACAUCAGGGGAACUACCACCAGCAGAAAGGAAAACCCAGAGCCUUCUGUGGCCUCUCAGCUAUUGUCAAAGGGAACACAAUGACUUUCUAGGGUUUAUAAGCUGGGAGCUUUAUCUGGUGCACUCUCCAUUCUUGCCUGAUGGUUGGUCAUGAGCCUUUCUGGUGGAUAAUGCCUCGUUUUCAUUCUGGAAGCAAACGAUGGGGAAAAGAGAGCAUCUUUCUAUCUCCUGUCAAGGUGUCAUCCAGCAAACACAUGCACGCCGCAUACCAAUAGAUUGCCAAGGAAUGGUAGCACUGCAUCAGCAUUUCUCCCGAAAUGCUUCCUCUGCUGGAGUCACCUAGCUGGCUGUUUAAAUCUGGAAUU